This 708-nucleotide ribosomal RNA is filed under the name uncultured Burkholderia sp. RNAcentral describes it as "bacterial SSU rRNA". It matches the Rfam family "Bacterial small subunit ribosomal RNA", at positions 60 to 763 of the family's 1533-position model. Lineage: Bacteria; Pseudomonadati; Pseudomonadota; Betaproteobacteria; Burkholderiales; Burkholderiaceae. The record is from RNAcentral.
AGUCGAACGGCAGCACGGGAGCAAUCCUGGUGGCGAGUGGCGAACGGGUGAGUAAUACAUCGGAACAUGUCCAGUAGUGGGGGAUAGCCCGGCGAAAGCCGGAUUAAUACCGCAUACGAUCUACGGAUGAAAGCGGGGGAUCGCAAGACCUCGCGCUAUUGGGGUGGCCGAUGGCGGAUUAGCUAGUUGGUGGGGUAAAGGCCUACCAAGGCGACGAUCCGUAGCUGGUCUGAGAGGACGACCAGCCACACUGGGACUGAGACACGGCCCAGACUCCUACGGGAGGCAGCAGUGGGGAAUUUUGGACAAUGGGCGAAAGCCUGAUCCAGCAAUGCCGCGUGUGUGAAGAAGGCCUUCGGGUUGUAAAGCACUUUUGUCCGGAAAGAAAUCCUGAUGGCUAAUAUCCGUCGGGGAUGACGGUACCGGAAGAAUAAGCACCGGCUAACUACGUGCCAGCAGCCGCGGUAAUACGUAGGGUGCGAGCGUUAAUCGGAAUUACUGGGCGUAAAGCGUGCGCAGGCGGUGAUGUAAGACCGAUGUGAAAUCCCCGGGCUUAACCUGGGAACUGCAUUGGUGACUGCAUCGCUAGAGUAUGGCAGAGGGGGGUAGAAUUCCACGUGUAGCAGUGAAAUGCGUAGAGAUGUGGAGGAAUACCGAUGGCGAAGGCAGCCCCCUGGGCCAAUACUGACGCUCAUGCACGAAAGCGUG